AUUGCUAGGCUGUGUGAUGUGUUUUGGUUACAGCUCAUUGUUUCAGCAUCAGUUGUUGAGAUAAGACGUGAUUUUCGCUGAGCGAAGAUUUUCUGAAAUAUCUGAUAACAUACAGUUGAUACAGUUACAGAAAUGAACAGUCAGAGCUAUAAGAGGAAAAGAGUGGAUGUACAGCAUCCCAUCCCGGAAGCUGCCUCGAGUAUUUACGAGAGGCUGGGCGUGGACAUCUUGACCACAUCCAACACUUCCGGGAAAUUUGAGGAGGUUGAGCCACCAAGAAAGCGUUAUAUUCAAGCUGCCAGUCAAGCAGUAUUUCAUAACAUAGGGUCCACUCCUACAGCUGGGAGA
Molecule: long non-coding RNA, 348 nt
Organism: Saccostrea echinata
Lineage: Eukaryota; Metazoa; Mollusca; Bivalvia; Ostreida; Ostreidae
Exons: 3
Source: RefSeq, a predicted model, not a curated record